Molecule: long non-coding RNA, 715 nt
Filed under: Panax ginseng (ginseng)
Lineage: Eukaryota; Viridiplantae; Streptophyta; Magnoliopsida; Apiales; Araliaceae
Description: long non-coding RNA (PGIN_LNC015911)
Source: RNAcentral
UCAUGGUUUGGCGGAUACAGGGAUACUACUAAAACAACAAUAGCACACCAUAUUCACCCUCAUUCUCAUUCUUAAAAUUCUUCAUUUUUUCACUUUCUGCCACUAAUAUACGUAAUCCAGAAACUAUAUUCUAAAAUUCGUCAAUUUCAAGGCUUAUCUUAUUUGAUUGUACUUGUGCUGGGUUAAGAGCUAUAUGGCUAUGGCUAUGGCUUCUUCUGGUACUGUACUCUUGGGAUUCACAGCAAUUUGAAAGCCCUUGAGAUGCAACCCACAUCAAGUAUCUUCUUUGUCUAUCUUCCAAAUGUAUCUUCUUUAAUUUGUCAACUUGGAGAUUGCAGGUUCCGGAUGAUCUAUAUAUACUGAAAGCAAGGGAAAACAAAGUUAAUAAGAAAAUAUUAUAAAGCAAGUGCCUGUGGCUAGAACGAUAUAAUAGAUAUAUAUUUAAAUCUAUAAAAUAAUUUGCUUAAGUAGUUUUUUAAGAAUUAAUAAAUGAAACUAUGCAAGGAUUGGAGUAAUUUGUCCAUUAUAUUGCUAGCUUGAAUCUCCAUGUUCUACAGUUCAUUUUCUAUACUAAAUCAUUUUGUGUGUGUUUUUAAGUGGCUAUUCUCGCGGUAACUCUGAAAGCAACUUUAUGCCAGAUUGUCAUCUUCAGUCACUACAAUGAUUGUGAAAGCAUCAUCAGCCACAGCGGUGGAGGUAUUAUUCAACAUCAGAC